GGAGCAGUUGGUAUCUCAGUGGUAGAGUGCAUGCUCUGUAUGUAUGAUGUCCUGGGUUCAAUCACCAGAUUCUCCC
This 76-nucleotide transfer RNA is filed under the name Dallia pectoralis (Alaska blackfish). RNAcentral's name for it is "tRNA-OTHER". The record is from RNAcentral. Lineage: Eukaryota; Metazoa; Chordata; Actinopteri; Esociformes; Umbridae.